CCUACGUGCGGCAGCAGUGGGGAAUAUUGGGCAAUGGGCGAAAGCCUGACCCAGCAACGCCGCGUGAAGGAAGAAGGCUUUCGGGUUGUAAACUUCUUUUGACAGGGAAGAGCAGAAGACGGUACCUGUCGAAUAAGCCACGGCUAACUACGUGCCAGCAGCCGCGGUAAUACGUAGGUGGCAAGCGUUGUCCGGAUUUACUGGGUGUAAAGGGCGUGUAGCCGGGCUGACAAGUCAGAUGUGAAAUCCGGGGGCUCAACCCCCGAACGGCAUUUGAAACUGUUGGUCUUGAGUAUCGGAGAGGCAGGGGGAAUUCCUAGGGUAGCGGUGAAAGGAGUAGAUAUUGGGAGGAACACCAGGGGCGAGGGCGGCCUGAUGGACGACAACGGACGGUGAGGCGCGAAAGCGUGGGGAGCAAACAGGAUGAGAUACCCUAGAAGUC
This 442-nucleotide ribosomal RNA is filed under the name uncultured bacterium. RNAcentral's name for it is "partial 16S ribosomal RNA". It matches the Rfam family "Bacterial small subunit ribosomal RNA", at positions 338 to 795 of the family's 1533-position model. The record is from RNAcentral.